ACGGCGAGUGAAGCGGCAAAAGCUCAAAUUUGAAAUCUGGCGCCUGCAAGUGUCCGAGUUGUACUUUGGAGAGGCAUCUUCGUGAGGGGUCCAGCCUAUGUUCCUUGGAACAGGGCGUCACAGAGGGUGAGAAUCCCGUUCGUGGCUGGAUACUCCUUGCAGUAUGUAGUGUCUUCAAUGAGUCGAGUUGUUUGGGAAUGCAGCUCAAAAUGGGUGGUAAAUUUCAUCUAAAGCUAAAUAUUGGCGAGAGACCGAUAGCGCACAAGUAGAGUGAUCGAAAGAUGAAAAGCACUUUGAAAAUAGAGUCAAACAGUACGUGAAAUUGUUGAAAGGGAAGCGCUUGAGAUCAGAGUCAGCCUUUGACAAACAACAUUCCUUAUGGAUAGUGCACUUGUUAUUGGCUGGGCCAGCAUCAGUUGGGACGGUAGGAUAAAGGCCUUGGGAAUGUGACUCCCUUCCGGAGUGUUAUAGCCCUUGGUGCCAUACUGCCUGCCCUGACUGUGGACCGCGCUUCGGCUUGGAUGCUGGCUUAAUGGUCUUCAGCGGCCCGUCUUGAAACACGGACCAAGGAGUCUAACGUCUAUGCAAGUGUUUGGGCUCAAAACCCUCACGCGUAAUGAAAGUGAACGGAGGUGGGAACCCUGCAAGGGGUGCACCAUCGACCGAUCCUGAUGUCUUCGGAUGGAUUUGAGUAGGAGCAUAGCUGUUGGGACCCGAAAGAUGGUGAACUAUGCCUGAAUAGGGUGAAGCCAGAGGAAACUCUGGUGGAGGCUCGCAGCGGUUCUGACGUGCAAAUCGAUCGUCAAAUUUGGGUAUAGGGGCGAAAGACUAAUCGAACCAU
RNAcentral lists this ribosomal RNA (841 nucleotides) under Tuber gibbosum. RNAcentral describes it as "eukaryotic LSU rRNA". It matches the Rfam family "Eukaryotic large subunit ribosomal RNA", at positions 86 to 943 of the family's 3401-position model. The record is from RNAcentral. Lineage: Eukaryota; Fungi; Ascomycota; Pezizomycetes; Pezizales; Tuberaceae.